This 75-nucleotide transfer RNA is filed under the name Alphaproteobacteria bacterium. RNAcentral's name for it is "tRNA-Val". It matches the Rfam family "tRNA". Rfam says of the family: Transfer RNA (tRNA) molecules are approximately 80 nucleotides in length. Their secondary structure includes four short double-helical elements and three loops (D, anti-codon, and T loops). Further hydrogen bonds mediate the characteristic L-shaped molecular structure. tRNAs have two regions of fundamental functional importance: the anti-codon, which is responsible for specific mRNA codon recognition, and the 3' end, to which the tRNAs corresponding amino acid is attached (by aminoacyl-tRNA synthetases). tRNAs cope with the degeneracy of the genetic code in two manners: having more than one tRNA (with a specific anti-codon) for a particular amino acid; and 'wobble' base-pairing, i.e. permitting non-standard base-pairing at the 3rd anti-codon position. Lineage: Bacteria; Pseudomonadati; Pseudomonadota; Alphaproteobacteria. RNAcentral also lists the same sequence under 1 other name. The record is from RNAcentral.
GGGCGCAUAGCUCAGGGGUAGAGCGCUACCUUGACAUGGUAGAGGUCCGCAGUUCGAAACUGCGUGCGCCCACCA